RNAcentral lists this ribosomal RNA (465 nucleotides) under uncultured bacterium. RNAcentral's name for it is "partial 16S ribosomal RNA". It matches the Rfam family "Bacterial small subunit ribosomal RNA", at positions 338 to 795 of the family's 1533-position model. The record is from RNAcentral.
CCUACGGGAGGCAGCAGUGGGGAAUUUUGGACAAUGGGCGCAAGCCUGAUCCAGCUAUUCCGCGUGUGGGAUGACGGCCUUCGGGUUGUAAACCACUUUUGUAGAGAACGAAAAGUCUGUUGAUAAUACCGAUAGAUGAUGACGGUACUCUAAGAAUCAGCACCGGCUAACUAAGUGCCAGCAGCCGCGGUAAUACGUAGGGUGCGAGCGUUAAUCGGAAUUACUGGGCGUAAAGGGUGUGCAGGCGGGUUUGCAAGAUGGAAGGGAAAGCCCCGGGCUUAACCUGGGAAAGCCAUACAUGACUGCAAGACUAGAGUGCGUCAGAGGGGGGUGGAAUUCCAAGUGUAGCAGUGAAAUGCGUAGAUAUUUGGAAGAACACCGAUGGCGAAGGCAGCCCCCUGGGACGCAACUGACGCUCAUCCACGAAAGCGUGGGGAGCAAACAGGAUUAGAUACCCCUGUAGUC